Molecule: ribosomal RNA, 750 nt
Filed under: uncultured bacterium
Lineage: Bacteria
Description: bacterial SSU rRNA
Rfam family: Bacterial small subunit ribosomal RNA
Source: RNAcentral
GUCGACGGUAGAGGGGGCAACCCCUCGAGAGUGGCGAACGGGUGAGUAAUAUAUCGGAACGUGCCCAGUCGUGGGGGAUAACGUAGCGAAAGUUACGCUAAUACCGCAUACGAUCUACGGAUGAAAGCGGGGGAUCGCAAGACCUCGCGCGAUUGGAGCGGCCGAUAUCAGAUUAGGUAGUUGGUGAGGUAAAGGCUCACCAAGCCAACGAUCUGUAGCUGGUCUGAGAGGACGACCAGCCACACUGGAACUGAGACACGGUCCAGACUCCUACGGGAGGCAGCAGUGGGGAAUUUUGGACAAUGGACGCAAGUCUGAUCCAGCCAUUCCGCGUGCAGGAUGAAGGCCCUCGGGUUGUAAACUGCUUUUGUACGGAACGAAAAGGUUUGUCUUAAUACGAUGAGCUCAUGACGGUACCGUAAGAAUAAGCACCGGCUAACUACGUGCCAGCAGCCGCGGUAAUACGUAGGGUGCAAGCGUUAAUCGGAAUUACUGGGCGUAAAGCGUGCGCAGGCGGUUAUGUAAGACAGAGGUGAAAUCCCCGGGCUCAACCUGGGAACUGCCUUUGUGACUGCAUAGCUAGAGUACGGUAGAGGGGGGAUGGAAUUCCGCGUGUAGCAGUGAAAUGCGUAGAUAUGCGGAGGAACACCGAUGGCGAAGGCAAUCCCCUGGACCUGUACUGACGCUCAUGCACGAAAGCGUGGGGAGCAAACAGGAUUAGAUACCCUGGUAGUCCACGCCCUAAACGAU